UGGUUCUGGCAUCGAUGAAGAACGCAGCGAAAUGCGAUAAGUAAUGUGAAUUGCAGAAUUCAGUGAAUCAUCGAAUCUUUGAACGCACAUUGCGCCCCUUGGUAUUCUGGGGGGCAUGCCUGUUCGAGCGUCAUUAUAACCCUCAAGCCUAGCUUGGUGUUGGAGCCUGCCACUAGGUAGCUCUUAAAAUCAGUGGCGGCGCCGUCUGGCUCUAAGCGUAGUAAUUUUUCUCGCUAUAGGGCUUAGGCGAUUGCUUGCUAAUAACCCUAAAUUUCUAUGGUUGACCUCGGAUCAGGUAGGGAUACCCGCUGA
RNAcentral lists this unclassified non-coding RNA (312 nucleotides) under uncultured fungus. RNAcentral describes it as "partial contains 5.8S ribosomal RNA and internal transcribed spacer 2". The stretch from base 1 to 133 matches the Rfam family "5.8S ribosomal RNA", at positions 22 to 154 of the family's 154-position model. The record is from RNAcentral. Lineage: Eukaryota; Fungi.